RNAcentral lists this ribosomal RNA (230 nucleotides) under uncultured Alicycliphilus sp. Its description in RNAcentral is "partial 16S ribosomal RNA". It matches the Rfam family "Bacterial small subunit ribosomal RNA", at positions 548 to 774 of the family's 1533-position model. The record is from RNAcentral. Lineage: Bacteria; Pseudomonadati; Pseudomonadota; Betaproteobacteria; Burkholderiales; Comamonadaceae.
AGAGAUGCACUGGGUUUAAAGAGUGCGCAGGCGGUUCUGUAAGACAGAGGUGAAAUCCCCGGGCUCAACCUGGGAACUGCCUUUGUGACUGCAAGGCUGGAGUGCGGCAGAGGGGGAUGGAAUUCCGCGUGUAGCAGUGAAAUGCGUAGAUAUGCGGAGGAACACCGAUGGCGAAGGCAAUCCCCUGGGCCUGCACUGACGCUCAUGCACGAAAGCGUGGGGAGCAAACA